RNAcentral lists this ribosomal RNA (433 nucleotides) under uncultured bacterium. RNAcentral's name for it is "partial 16S ribosomal RNA". It matches the Rfam family "Bacterial small subunit ribosomal RNA", at positions 29 to 507 of the family's 1533-position model. The record is from RNAcentral.
AACGAACGCUGGCGGCAUGCCUAACACAUGCAAGUCGAACGAGACCUUCGGGUCUAGUGGCGCAAGGGUGCGUAACGCGUGGGAACCUGCCCUUAGGUUCGGAAUAACUCCCCGAAAGGGGUGCUAAUACCGGAUAAUGUCUUCGGACCAAAGAUUUAUCGCCUUUGGAUGGGCCCGGGUUGGAUUAGCUAGUUGGUAGGGUAAAAGCCUACCAAGGCGACGAUGCAUAGCUGGUCUGAGAGGAUGAUCAGCCACACUGGGACUGAGACACGGCCCAGACUCCUGCGGGAGGCAGCAGUGGGGAAUAUUGGACAAUGGGCGAAAGCCUGAUCCAGCAAGGCCGCGUGAGUGAUGAAGGCCUUAGGGUUGUAAAGCUCUUUUACCCGGGAUGAUAAUGACAGUACCGGGAGAAUAAGCUCCGGCUAACUCCGUG